RNAcentral lists this unclassified non-coding RNA (282 nucleotides) under Hevea brasiliensis (rubber tree). Lineage: Eukaryota; Viridiplantae; Streptophyta; Magnoliopsida; Malpighiales; Euphorbiaceae. The record is from RNAcentral.
AAAUAAGUAAAAAGAACACCAAGAUUUUCAACAAAUUUUACAAGAGAAAGAGAAUAUUGACAUAUCAAACAACGCCUACAAGUAAAAGAAAAAGAACUUGAAGCAUGAAAGAAUUUUUUAUUUCAAGAGUGAUAAAAAUGAAAGCACAACUUGAUGAGUUAUCAUAAGUUGACUUGAAAGCAAAGCUAGUAAGCUAUCAAUAGCGAGAACUUAAAGAACUUGAAGAUGUAAAGCCAAAAAAGCAACUUGACGUUAAACAUGAACAAGAAGAAGAAUUCAAAG